This 219-nucleotide ribosomal RNA is filed under the name uncultured bacterium. RNAcentral's name for it is "partial 16S ribosomal RNA". It matches the Rfam family "Bacterial small subunit ribosomal RNA", at positions 113 to 334 of the family's 1533-position model. The record is from RNAcentral.
CGACGGUAGAUAAUGUGCCCUCUUGCGGGGAUACCGUUCGAAGGAACGUUAAUACCGCAUAACACCCUCGGUGGGCAUCCACUGAGAGUCAAACUUCCGGGGCGGGAGGAGCAAUCUGCGUUCUAUCAGGUAGUUGGUGAGGUAAUGGCUCACCAAGCCUACGACGGAUAACUGGUCUGAGAGGAUGAUCAGUCACACUGGAACUGAGACACGGUCCAG